AUUGAACGCUGGCGGCAGGCCUAACACAUGCAAGUCGAGCGGAGCGGCGGACGGGUGAGUAAUGCCUAGGAAUAUGCCUGGUAGUGGGGGAUAACGUCCGGAAACGGGCGCUAAUACCGCAUACUAUCAGAUGAGCCUAGUUCGGAUUAGCUCGUUGGGGGGGGAAAGGCAUACAAGGUCGACGAGCCGUAACUGGUCUGAGAGGAUGAUCAGUCACACUUGAACUUAGACACUGUCCAGACUCCUACGGGAGGCAGCAGUGGGGAAUAUUGGACAAUGGGCGAAAUCCUGAUCCAGCCAUGCCGCGUAUGUGAAGAAGGUCUUCGGAUUGUAAAGCACUUUAAGUUGGGAGGCGUUACCAACAGGAUAAGCACCGGCUAACUUCGUGCCAGCAGCCGCGGUAAUAC
RNAcentral lists this ribosomal RNA (407 nucleotides) under uncultured bacterium. RNAcentral's name for it is "partial 16S ribosomal RNA". It matches the Rfam family "Bacterial small subunit ribosomal RNA", at positions 30 to 526 of the family's 1533-position model. The record is from RNAcentral.